Molecule: long non-coding RNA, 144 nt
Organism: Cucurbita maxima (winter squash)
Lineage: Eukaryota; Viridiplantae; Streptophyta; Magnoliopsida; Cucurbitales; Cucurbitaceae
Exons: 3
Source: RefSeq, a predicted model, not a curated record
AAUGAGACCCAUAAAGAAUGAGCUUGACCUUUUUUCUUAACUGUUUAAUCUGGUUCAGUGAAGGAGUUCAGGCAAUGGAAUAGUUCAACCCGAGUUCAAUCUGUCUCAUUCAUCAUAAGAAGUUCAGUCUGUGUUUACAGUUCA